This 540-nucleotide long non-coding RNA is filed under the name Ananas comosus (pineapple). RNAcentral describes it as "long non-coding RNA (ACOM_LNC017158)". Lineage: Eukaryota; Viridiplantae; Streptophyta; Magnoliopsida; Poales; Bromeliaceae. The record is from RNAcentral.
UAUACUCUUAUAAGUAUUGGACCCUCCGUACUCAUAAGUUGUUUGUGAUGUUGGGGCUUCCGAAUUGACGAUUCACAUUGUUAAACAUGAUCUAGAUUAUUUGAAACUUCUAGAAAAUAAAUUUCGUAAUUUUUCGAAUAAUAAUAAAGUCCAUCAAACGAACAUAAAAUGAAUGGUCAAAAUCGAACGACGUCCUGGAAAUGGAUGAUCGGAUCCUUCAAUUUAAGAUUGGAGUUAUUGAUCUUUAUCUAGGUAGUGAACAUAAUUUUCUAUCAAAAAUUCAACCUAUUCCAAUUCUUUUACAUUGUUAAACUAGCAAGUUUUCCAUACCGAUCGUUAAAAAUUGUCAAUUUUGUGAGUUUCUGUUCGUCAGGUAAAUGAUGUCGAAAAAUUAUGAAAUUUGAUUUUUAGAAGUUUUAAAUGCUUUAGAUAAUGUUUAGCGGUAUAGAUCGUCGAUUCGAAAGCUCUAUCAUCAAAAAUAAUUUGUGAAUACGAGGGCGAUCGUACUCAUAAGAGUAUAAUAGCCGAACUAUAUAUAUA